GAUGAACGCUGGCGGCGUGCCUAAUACAUGCCAGUCGAGCGAACAGACGAGGAGCUUGCUCCACUGACGUUAGCGGCGGACGGGUGAGUAACACGUGGAUAACCUACCUAUAAGACUGGGAUAACUUCGGGAAACCGGAGCUAAUACCGGAUAAUAUAUUGAACCGCAUGGUUCAAUAGUGAAAGACGGUUUUGCUGUCACUUAUAGAUGGAUCCGCGCCGCAUUAGCUAGUUGGUAAGGUAACGGCUUACCAAGGCAACGAUGCGUAGCCGACCUGAGAGGGUGAUCGGCCACACUGGAACUGAGACACGGUCCAGACUCCUACGGGAGGCAGCAGUAGGGAAUCUUCCGCAAUGGGCGAAAGCUUGACGGAGCAACGCCGCGUGAGUGAUGAAGGUCUUCGGAUCGUAAAACUCUGUUAUUAGGGAAGAACAAAUGUGUAAGUAACUAUGCACGUCUUGACGGUACCUAAUCAGAAAGCCACGGCUAACUACGUG
RNAcentral lists this ribosomal RNA (497 nucleotides) under uncultured bacterium. Its description in RNAcentral is "partial 16S ribosomal RNA". It matches the Rfam family "Bacterial small subunit ribosomal RNA", at positions 28 to 507 of the family's 1533-position model. The record is from RNAcentral.